Molecule: long non-coding RNA, 856 nt
Organism: Salvia miltiorrhiza (redroot sage)
Lineage: Eukaryota; Viridiplantae; Streptophyta; Magnoliopsida; Lamiales; Lamiaceae
Exons: 3
Source: RefSeq, a predicted model, not a curated record
AAAUACUGCUAUUUCGUCUUUUUGUCGACUUUCAAAAUCUUACGUGCACGUCGUCGAAAAAUAUUCUUAGUUUUUCGAUACGAGUCCAAUAAUGAAAGUUUUUAUUUUUGGACGACGAGUGAAUAGUGAACUAGAUUUUCUCGAUAAACGAACCGAGCUCGUUUAUCAGAAUUUCGAGAACGAGCUUGUGUUUUCUAUAUUUAUAUAGAAUUACGAGUGCAAUGAAAGUGAGUAGAGGUUGAGAGGGCGAGUAACGAAGAGUAUGGGUAGUUAAUCGUUAAAACGAGACGAAACGAGAUAUUUAACGACUAACGGGUUAAUAUCCUAAAUAUCUAACCUACCCUACCCCUAACCACCCCCCCAACUGCCCACUAUCCCUCUAUCUCACCUAACUCACGCUAUAUCAGCCCACACCACACACACAACUCACAUAUUCACACACACAACACCUAAAACACACACUACACACGCCAUUUUCCAUUUAAGCUUGGACGGAGCUUUUGACCUCCGAUUUGAGCACCGAGACGAGCGCCGAUCAUCUUUUCGAUCAUGUAUCUAAGUAGGUCCUUUUGGGAAGUAACGACUUGAGGGAGAGAGUGACGUUACUCAUUGAUACAGAGACACAACGAGGUUGAGCUGAUGUGAUGAUGGUGCUGCAAUGAGCGGAGUCUCCAGGGUUGUUAAUAAAUAGUUAACCUGUCUAGAAUAUGUCUUCAUACAUAUGUCUAGCUACUUUCCGCUGCAAGAUGUUGUUGAUGUUAUAGUAUGUUAUGUCAUACUUUGAGUCUUAAGAGAAUGGUUUCAUACGAUGUAUAACUUGAUUAAUGAUAUUAAUUAAGUUUUAUGCUGUCUUUCA